RNAcentral lists this small RNA (279 nucleotides) under Desulfovibrio desulfuricans. RNAcentral's name for it is "5' ureB small RNA". It matches the Rfam family "5' ureB small RNA". Lineage: Bacteria; Pseudomonadati; Thermodesulfobacteriota; Desulfovibrionia; Desulfovibrionales; Desulfovibrionaceae. The record is from RNAcentral.
CUGUUGCGGGCAGAUAAAAUGGAUGUGCGAGUCCAUGCCGCCAGCGGUGAGCAGGCAGCCUUCGCCCGCAAUAAUCUCCGUGCCGGGGCCGAUGAUCACGUCCACAUCGGGCUGCACAUCGGGAUUGCCAGCCUUGCCGAUGGCGGCAAUGCGCCCGUCGCGUAUGCCAAGAUCGGCCUUGAUGAUGCCCAGCGCCGCAUCCAUGAUGACGGCAUUGGUGAUGACUGUGUCCAUAGCGCCGUCAGCAUUGCUGAUCUGGCUCUGGCCCAUGCCGUCGCG